GCCCCUGUAGCUCAGAGGAUAGAGCGGCAGUUUCCUAAACUGCAAGUCGGAUGUUCGAAUCAUCUCAGGGGCGCCA
RNAcentral lists this transfer RNA (76 nucleotides) under Chloroflexota bacterium. RNAcentral's name for it is "tRNA-Arg". It matches the Rfam family "tRNA". From Rfam's summary of the family: Transfer RNA (tRNA) molecules are approximately 80 nucleotides in length. Their secondary structure includes four short double-helical elements and three loops (D, anti-codon, and T loops). The record is from RNAcentral. Lineage: Bacteria; Bacillati; Chloroflexota.